UCCUUUCUUUCCGGCCGUCAGCAAACCCCGUUCGCCUUCGGACCUGGCCCCAGACUCACACGUACUGUGGUGGAACUCCCCGGGGCUCACCUGUCCAGAGUACAGCAGGUCUUGGUGAUUAAUUGAACAUGUGGGUGGUAAGAGAGAGGGAAACGUCCUGGAUGGAGCCCAAGGUUCUGCCUUGGAUGACGGAGUGAUACCAUUUGUCCAGAUCGGUACUGUCGGAGAAUUGCCAUCUUUAAGCAAUCACCUCGUCAUAUAAAUCAGAAAAAAAAGAGAGAAGUUAACCUAAUUCAAACCAUGGUCCAAGGAUAAAUAGAAAUCAUCAUGGAUGCAGAGGGAAGUAAAAUGAAUUAUUUAAUAAUUACGCAACAGUUGCAUGUCAAAACUCACAACCAAUUGAAACUGCUUGGUGUUUUUUUGGUUUUUGUGUGUUUUUUUUUUUUAAGAAAACUGGGAAAAUGAUUAGUCAAAGCAAUGUGUAUGU
Molecule: long non-coding RNA, 487 nt
Organism: Mustela lutreola (European mink)
Lineage: Eukaryota; Metazoa; Chordata; Mammalia; Carnivora; Mustelidae
Exons: 3
Source: RefSeq, a predicted model, not a curated record